Molecule: small RNA, 401 nt
Filed under: Vigna angularis var. angularis
Lineage: Eukaryota; Viridiplantae; Streptophyta; Magnoliopsida; Fabales; Fabaceae
Description: Non-protein coding transcript
Source: RNAcentral
CACAACACCACCAUAAAAUUCAGUCUUCCGCAGCGUAACCCUACCCAACCUCGCGUAGCUUCUACCCCCAAACUGUCGUAGGCGACGACGGCGACGGCGGCGACGACGAGCAGAACAAGAGUGAAACCCUAAUUCCCUAAUCUUUCUCCUACCUUGGAAGCUUUAGUUACGGUAGCCAGCAUAUUGAUUUUAACACGGGAUUUGCAAGUCCUAUUUGAAGUGAUUAGUGGGGGAAGAUUGAAGUUUUGCUUUGAAAUAAUUGACAUUGAUUUUAUGAAUAAUAGUGAGUUGGCGGUUGGUUGUCACUUCUGUGCACGAGGGCAAAGCCAGCAAGCAUGUGGUAGUUGUUGUUUUAUGUGAGAAGAAAAAGCGAUACAUUUGUAAACUUUUGCAAGUAAAAU